UUCUCUCUUACAGUGUGCAUUUGUGUUGCCAUCGUGCAGUGUGUCCAGCAUUUCUUGCAAUAUAUAUUUAUGUGUUUCCCCAAGAUGGUCAUUGGUGCCACCAGGAGAUACAGACGACACCAUCAGAGGAAGUGAGAUCAACAUGACACUCUAUGCAUUUUUGGAACCAGCUGUUUCCUUCUCCAUCUUUGGAAUUUGGAGGAAGCAAAGGGGUCCGAAGAAGCAGAAUAAACUUUUGAACAAAGGUAGAGACAUAAUUUGUGGUGGAACAAGUUUGGAAGCUUUCUUAUAUGUCAAAAAGAGCAACCCACUGCUUGGAAGUUAAACAAAUUGCAUGGAGGUUGGGUGUCUAUAAAGCUACAGGAAUUACACCAAGCCUUUGCAGCUAAAGCCAAGCUAUGCCCUUGAGACAGUGGAGAUCUAUGUAAGCAGAAAGUAUUAUACAGACUUUGUUUUACUUACUUACUUACCAUAUUUAUAUCCCGCCUUUCUCAACCCCUGGGGGGACUCAAGGGGCUUACAAAUGGCAUUACAUAAUGCUUUACUUAGGCGAUCCCUCAUUGUCCGAGUAUGAUGGUCCUCCAAGUGUAGUGUCUUGGCAGUGGGUACGUAGGUGACUGUAUAGCCCUAUUAUUGUUUUAUCAUUUGCUUUGUGAGGCAAGCUGAAGUUUCAGGGUCACUAUUAUUUAUUAGGAUAUGCCAUCCUUCAAAACAUGCAUAUGAAUGAGUGGAGGAAAAUAUAUGUGGAGAAAGCAGAAGCCUUUAAAACAGUUUUUUUAAUUAACUUGUUACUUAUUGUUAAUAGCUUUGGGCAGUAACUAAGGCAGAACAAUUUAAAUUACAAUGGUUGAAGUUCUGGCUCAUGGUCUUCCUCACACUCUGCUGCUUCAACUGAGAUAUUGGGUGAGAAGUGUUUUGCACAAACGGAUUGCAGUUUUUAGAGUUUAGAUUUUUAAAAAGUAACUAGUAACUGGUGGCUUUAGAGAAACAGGAGUUGUGUUUAAACAAAUCGGCUGAUAAUGUCAACUAGCUAUUUCAGAAGGGCUUAGAUUUAGAACCAUAAUUAUUAUAAUAAAUCACAAUAUAAUUAUAACUGUACGUUAUUCCCCCACUGAGACAGAGAGCCCUUGUCCCAGGAUGACAGCAAUAUAUGCGCGUAAUUACAGAGACAUCUAUAGAAUGUUCUUUUUGUGAAAAGAGAAGAACAUGACAAAGCAUUCCAAUAACAUUUCAUUUCACAUGGAGGGAAGGUACAUAUGUGAAUAUUUUUGGAGGGCAAAUUAUUAUUGCAGGUUAAAAGCUAGCAGACGAAAGGAAAAAGUCAGUAGACUGGCAUAAUUCUAUGCAUGUCUGUUCUGUUCUCGUUCCCAAAAAACGUGUGUACAAUUGCAGGCUUAAAUCUUUCUUUUUUUGUUGCAUAUUAUCAUUCUUUGCUUACUGUUUUUUAAACACAUAGCUUCUAAAGUGCUUCAG
RNAcentral lists this long non-coding RNA (1473 nucleotides) under Anolis carolinensis (green anole). RNAcentral describes it as "lncRNA (ENSACAG00000035628.1)". The record is from RNAcentral. Lineage: Eukaryota; Metazoa; Chordata; Lepidosauria; Squamata; Anolidae.